RNAcentral lists this ribosomal RNA (253 nucleotides) under uncultured bacterium. RNAcentral's name for it is "partial 16S ribosomal RNA". It matches the Rfam family "Bacterial small subunit ribosomal RNA", at positions 524 to 776 of the family's 1533-position model. The record is from RNAcentral.
GACGAACCGAGCGAACGUUGUUCGGAAUCACUGGGCUUAAAGGGCGCGUAGGCGGGCUGUCAAGUCUGGGGUGAAAUCCCUCGGCUCAACCGAGGAACUGCGCUCAAAACUACCCGACUCGAGGGAGAUAGAGGAAAGCGGAACUGAUGGUGGAGCGGUGAAAUGCGUUGAUAUCAUCAGGAACACCGAUGGCGAAGGCAGGUCUCUGGGCCACUACUGACGCUGAGAAGCGAAAGCAUGGGGAGCGAACAGG